Molecule: ribosomal RNA, 621 nt
Filed under: uncultured archaeon
Lineage: Archaea
Description: bacterial SSU rRNA
Rfam family: Archaeal small subunit ribosomal RNA
Source: RNAcentral
AUAAUACUCCAUAGAUUAAGACACUGGAAUGUCUUUAGUCGAAAGUUCUGGCGCCUUAGGAUGGAUCUGCGGUCGAUUAGGUUGUUGUUGGGGUAACGGCCCAACAAGCCUGUAAUCGAUACGGGUUGUGGGAGCAAGAGCCCGGAGAUGGAAUCUGAGACACGAUUCCAGGCCCUACGGGGCGCAGCAGGCGCGAAAACUUUACAACGCAGGAAACUGUGAUAAGGGAACUCCGAGUGCCCGUAUACGCGGGCUGUCCAGGUGUUUAAAAAUCAUCUGAAGAAAGGGCCGGGCAAGACCGGUGCCAGCCGCCGCGGUAAUACCGGCGGCUCGAGUGGUGGCCACUAUUAUUGGGCUUAAAGCGUCCGUAGCUGGACCGAUAAGUCUCUUGGGAAAUCCGCCGGCUCAACCGGCGGGCGUCUAAGGGAUACUGUUAGUCUAAGGACCGGGAGAGGUGAGAGGUACUCCGGGGGUAGGAGUGAAAUCCUGUAAUCCCCGGGGGACCACCGAUGGCGAAGGCAUCUCACCAGAACGGCUCCGACAGUGAGGGACGAAAGCUGGGGGAGCGAACCGGAUUAAAUACCCGGGUAGUCCCAGCCGUAAACUAUGCGCGUUAGGUGU